CCUACGGGUGGCUGCAGUGGGGAAUUUUGGACAAUGGGCGCAAGCCUGAUCCAGCCAUGCCGCGUGCGGGAAGAAGGCCUUCGGGUUGUAAACCGCUUUUGUCAGGGAAGAAAAGGUUCUGGUUAAUACCUGGGACUCAUGACGGUACCUGAAGAAUAAGCACCGGCUAACUACGUGCCAGCAGCCGCGGUAAUACGUAGGGUGCAAGCGUUAAUCGGAAUUACUGGGCGUAAAGCGUGCGCAGGCGGUUAUGCAAGACAGAGGUGAAAUCCCCG
This 275-nucleotide ribosomal RNA is filed under the name uncultured Roseateles sp. RNAcentral's name for it is "partial 16S ribosomal RNA". It matches the Rfam family "Bacterial small subunit ribosomal RNA", at positions 338 to 605 of the family's 1533-position model. The record is from RNAcentral. Lineage: Bacteria; Pseudomonadati; Pseudomonadota; Betaproteobacteria; Burkholderiales; Sphaerotilaceae.